This 497-nucleotide ribosomal RNA is filed under the name uncultured bacterium. Its description in RNAcentral is "partial 16S ribosomal RNA". It matches the Rfam family "Bacterial small subunit ribosomal RNA", at positions 899 to 1397 of the family's 1533-position model. The record is from RNAcentral.
ACUCAAAUGAAUAGACGGGGGCCCGCACAAGCGGUGGAGCAUAUGGCUUAAUUCGAUGCAACGCGAAGAACCUUACCAGGGCUUGACAUGUACCUGCAAUCCCCCGAAACGGGGCCGCCUUCGAGGGUGGUGCACAGGUGGUGCAUGGCUGUCGUCAGCUCGUGUUGUGAAAUGUUGGGUUAAGUCCCGCAACGAGCGCAACUCUCAUGUUUUGUUACCAGCGGAUAAUGCCGGGGACUCGAGACAAACUGCCUCUGUAAAGAGGAGGAAGGUGGGAACGACGUCAAGUCAUCAUGCCCCUUACGCCCUGGGCUGCACAUAUGCUACAAUGGCGUCUACAAAGGGUUGCUAGCCAGCGAUGGUAUGCUAAUCUCAAAAAAGACGUCUCAGUUCGGAUUGGAGUCUGCAACUCGACUCCAUGAAGUUGGAAUCGCUAGUAACCGCAGGUCAGCAAUACUGCGGUGAAUACGUUCCCGGGCCUUGCACACACCGCCCGU